Long non-coding RNA from Sander lucioperca (pikeperch), 321 nucleotides. RefSeq lists it as uncharacterized. The record is from RefSeq and is a predicted model, not a curated record. Lineage: Eukaryota; Metazoa; Chordata; Actinopteri; Perciformes; Percidae. The transcript is spliced from 2 exons.
AUAUAUACACAGUAUAUAUAUAUAUAUAUAUAUAUAUAUAUAUUUCAAUUGCACAUCUGUUUAUCGCAAAUCAUACCAGCAACAAAGAUGAGUUUUAGAAGUAUCGAGCCAGGUUGCAAGAGUGAUCAUAUUGCCAAAUGAAGAACAAAUAUCUUAUUGGAGUCGAAAACGAAAUCCUGUUGCGUGUCCGGAUGUACAGUUCAUGUAAGAUAAAUCUGUGGUUUUGCUAAAGUUUAGCCUUGUGUCCGUAGAUGUGGGCCUUUUAAGAAGCCUAGAAAGAGAAUCAUCAACAUAGAUACCUACUCGCACACCAUGGGACGU